GCAUUGGUGGUUGGGUGGUAGAAUUCUCAUAUUACAUGCGGGAGACCCAGGUUCAAUUCCUGACCAAUGCU
RNAcentral lists this transfer RNA (71 nucleotides) under Loxodonta africana (African savanna elephant). It matches the Rfam family "tRNA". From Rfam's summary of the family: Transfer RNA (tRNA) molecules are approximately 80 nucleotides in length. Lineage: Eukaryota; Metazoa; Chordata; Mammalia; Proboscidea; Elephantidae. The record is from Rfam by way of RNAcentral.